GUUUCCGCUGUGCCAUUUG
This 19-nucleotide microRNA is filed under the name Ornithorhynchus anatinus (platypus). RNAcentral's name for it is "oan-miR-7434-5p". The record is from miRBase by way of RNAcentral. Lineage: Eukaryota; Metazoa; Chordata; Mammalia; Monotremata; Ornithorhynchidae.